Long non-coding RNA from Mercenaria mercenaria, 856 nucleotides. RefSeq lists it as uncharacterized. The record is from RefSeq and is a predicted model, not a curated record. The transcript has 2 exons. NCBI's taxonomy places the organism in Eukaryota, Metazoa, Mollusca, Bivalvia, Venerida, Veneridae.
UCGGAAAACCUGGUUAUAAAUAACUGACGUAUUUUCUGAAAAUGUUAUAUGGGAUUUACGUGACAUUUUCUGAAAAUGGUUAUGAACGGUUGUUAAGAUACAUGUAAACAAAUAUAACGUAUUUCACAACACAAACGUAAUUGAUUAACACCAAAACCUUGCUAGCAUAAAAAAGUUUCAUGGAAGUAAAUAACUUUAUACUGCUAACUUAUACCUACAACAACAGAACAGAAAGGAGUUUUAAAGGACUAUAAUGAGUAUUCAAGAGUUUUACCGAGAUAUCGAUGGUCUGACUGUAUAUUUGAGAGAAAAAUACCCCAAUGACCACGAAAUACAGAAAUGGAAUAAUUCAUAUUGCAAACAAUACGUCUGGGAACCAAACGAAUUACAAAAACUUUUUGAAGACAACGAACAUUUAAAACAAGAUAUAAUAAAAUUACAUCAAUUGACAUCGAAAAAACAACACGCACUACAAGAGAAACCAGAUACAGUGAAGUAAAAAAGAAAUUGAAAUCACUCAACCGUUUGAGUAUGCCAUAGGCAUAUGCAUGAUUGAAUAUCAUAAUACUUUUAUGUUGUGAGAAUCACUCAACCGUUUGAGUAUGCCAUAGGCAUAUGCAUGAUUGAACAUACGCUUUUUAGAGUAGUAUGGAAUAUAAUGUUUAUGGUACAUUUUUGUUAGUAGUAAAGAAUAUUAUGUUCUUGAUACAUUUUAACUCAUUUUAUUAAAAUAAUUUAUCAUUGUUUGUUCAUUAUGUAUUACAUUGUUUACUCUCAGUGUUUUAUACAAUAAAUCAUAAAUGUUUAUACCAUUUUGUAACAUUUUUAUGAAAAAUAAACAAUAAUAUCCACAGAG